Molecule: ribosomal RNA, 2352 nt
Filed under: Triticum aestivum (bread wheat)
Lineage: Eukaryota; Viridiplantae; Streptophyta; Magnoliopsida; Poales; Poaceae
Description: partial small subunit ribosomal RNA
Source: RNAcentral
AUGCAGUACCACCACCGCAGCCGCCUGCCGCCGCCUCCUCCACCGCCGUUUGGCCGCGGCAGUGGUGCCGUGUACCCCGGCGGUCACAAGCAGCUGUACGCUCCUCAAACUCCUCCUCGGCCCCCGCUUCUUGCGCCGCCGCAUCGCAGAUACGAGGUGCUCAUGGAGGCCGGCCGCCUCGCGGCCGAGUACCUGGUAUCCACGGGCGUGCUCCCGCCGUCCUCCCUACAGCGCGGCGGCGGCGACCCGUGGGCUGUUCCUCCUCCUCCACUGCCUCAACCGCGGCAGGAACCCCCCGCAUUCUAUGACUGGAGGAGGUACGAUGAUGUAUAUAGCAAUAACCCUGGCACCCGGCCUAGGCGGAACAGUAGCAUUACUAGUUGUUGUACUAAUAGAGAUGAUUACAGUAAUGGUGGUAGCUACAAUGGGAGAUGGAAGAGAAAGUAUGGGGAGUACAGAAUGGGGUAUCCAGGUCGUGGAAGGGAGAGGGAGGAGGAGAGAGCAAGGUCGAAUUCGAAUGGUCGACGCUAUGAGGAAGAUAAGGACGAGGAUGGUGCUCCUGGAUUUCAGAGGGAUCGGCGGUCCAGUGUGGAGAAUGACGAGUCUAGGAGAUGUGUGACGGAUGAGGUGAAAGAGGCGGCACCUUUCAUGGAGAAGGCUGUAGGUCAGUUGGAGAUGAAGGAUACCGGAUUGAAUGCUGAUGUUAGGAAGAAUGCUGAUGCUUUGCUGGAGUUGCAGGCUGAGAAUGAAGGUGAGAUGAAAGAGAAUAAAAUACUGAGUUCAGAAUUAGAGAUGGACCCUAACGGUGAUGUCAAUAACACUUCUAUUGUAGUUGUUAUGGAGGCAGAUGCGAAGCUUUUGCCAGAUGGUAAGGUUGUGGGUGAGAAAGCUGAAGAUAACAACAAAGUUUUGUGUGACCGUAUUGCCUUGAAUGAUGACAUGAAAAUUUUGGAAAAUGGUUUGCAUGUCGACAGGAGGAGUUUGCUUAAACACUAUGACUUUGCAAAAGCUCCAACGAAGCCCAGCUCAUGCCAUGCACAUAGAAAGUUAGUAACUGAAACGGUCGAUCUAGUUUCUUCUAGAGAAGGUUCUCAGAUGGUAGCCGAUGAAGCAGCAAAUGAGAGAUCUUUGACUAACAUCCAGCCAUAUAACAGAGAAGAUCAAAUCUACCAAGAAAGUACUGUCUCUAAGACAGCUUACAAAGAAAUAACAAUGGAACCUAUGCUUCUCCAAGAAAACAAAACAUUAGUUGUUACUGAAAAUAUGAGAGAAUACAAGAACGAUGCACAACUCCAUGUAGUCCAGGAAUACAAGGAAGAACAAGAUGUAUCUUCUUUGACAAUUUCUCAGAAGCAUAACUUGAUGCAAGAAAACGACUUAUCUCCAUUGUCGGCUUCUCGCAAGGGUGGCUUGAUGCAAGAAACCAACCUAUCUACGUUGACAGGAACGCAGGAGGAUAUCAUGAUCGAAGAUGCCAACCUAUCUCCAUUACCAGAUGCUCACAAUGAUAGCUUGAUUGCAGAAACCAACCUAUCUCCAAUGGCAGAUGCACACAAUGAUAGCUUGAUUGAAGAAUCUGAUCAAUCUCCAUCGACAGCUUCUCACGAAGUUACCUUGAUGCAAGAAACUGACAUAACUCAGUCAUUAUCUUUACAUAAAAAUAACUUAAAUCUACAAUUUAAGAAAGGAGCCCAGAUUUGUGAUACUGAAAUUGUGCCAAAAGAAGUGGGCUUGUUUGAGUUUUCUGAUCAGAAGAACAUUGUUGGUGCUGAUUUGUUUUGUAAUGCCGGGGCUGAAACUAUCAUCCAAAUGGAAGAAGAAGAAAAGCUGGAUCAAUCCAGCUCAUUCAGAACACCUAAUAAUCCUGGCUUUGGCCAACACUCUGCACGAGGAUAUUCAGUGGAGCCACAUAAACAACUGCAAGAAGAUUUUGGAGCUAAUGUGGGAGACAUUGUCGGUGGUACAAAUAAUUUGUGCCAAGUUUCAUUAGACAAUAACUCUGUCCAAGUAUUUGAUAUAGAAGAUGACAUGCCAAUUGAAGGUGCUGGCUUUGAUUCUUCAAAAGCAAAGAACGAGAUGAUAUGCUCUAGCAUGGAUGUCAUAAUGCACCCUGGCAUACAUACUGAUGAUCUUCCUGUAAUUGAAGAUGGUUACAAUCUUGCACUUUCUGAUUAUCUAGCGGCUGAUAUACCAUGCUACACAUCAUUGCGACCUGAUCUUCAAGCUGGUAUAUGUACCAAUGAUUCUGAGGGCAUCCCUGUCAUGGAUGAUCCAAUAUAUGGGUCUCUCACUGAUAUUGGUUUCAUGGAUGUUUGGAGCCAGCCAGCUGAGGACUUCGAGAAAUUCUUCUAA